UACAGAGGGCUCAAGCGUUGUUCGGAUUCAUUGGGCGUAAAGGGUGCGUAGGUGGCAUGGUAAGUCGGCUGUGAAAUCCCGGGGCUCAACCCCGGAACUGCAUUCGAUACUGCUGCGCUAGAGUACUGGAGAGGAGAUUGGAAUUUACGGUGUAGCAGUGAAAUGCGUAGAUAUCGUAAGGAAGACCAGUGGCGAAGGCGGAUCUCUGGACAGUUACUGACACUGAGGCACGAAGGCCAGGGGAGCAAACGGG
RNAcentral lists this ribosomal RNA (253 nucleotides) under uncultured bacterium. RNAcentral's name for it is "partial 16S ribosomal RNA". It matches the Rfam family "Bacterial small subunit ribosomal RNA", at positions 524 to 776 of the family's 1533-position model. The record is from RNAcentral.